GACGAACGCUGGCGGCGUGCCUAAUACAUGCAAGUCGAGCGAACAGAUGGGAGCUUGCUCCCUGAAGUUAGCGGCGGACGGGUGAGUAACACGUGGGCAACCUGCCUGUAAGACUGGGAUAACUUCGGGAAACCGGAGCUAAUACCGGAUAAUUCCUUUUUUCACAUGAGAAAAGGCUGAAAGGCGGCUUUUAGCUGUCACUUACAGAUGGGCCCGCGGCGCAUUAGCUAGUUGGUGAGGUAACGGCUCACCAAGGCAACGAUGCGUAGCCGACCUGAGAGGGUGAUCGGCCACACUGGGACUGAGACACGGCCCAGACUCCUACGGGAGGCAGCAGUAGGGAAUCUUCCGCAAUGGACGAAAGUCUGACGGAGCAACGCCGCGUGAGUGAUGAAGGUUUUCGGAUCGUAAAACUCUGUUGUUAGUGAAGAACAAGUACCAGAGUAACUACUGGUGCCUUGACGGUACCUAACCAGAAAGCCACGGCUAACUAC
RNAcentral lists this ribosomal RNA (494 nucleotides) under uncultured bacterium. Its description in RNAcentral is "bacterial SSU rRNA". It matches the Rfam family "Bacterial small subunit ribosomal RNA", at positions 28 to 504 of the family's 1533-position model. The record is from RNAcentral.